This 828-nucleotide long non-coding RNA is filed under the name Sus scrofa (pig). Its description in RNAcentral is "lncRNA (ENSSSCG00060020911.1)". The record is from RNAcentral. Lineage: Eukaryota; Metazoa; Chordata; Mammalia; Artiodactyla; Suidae.
UCCGCGCGGAGUCCCGCGGGGGUCUGCUGGGGAAGGCCCGGCUGUGCUUCUCCGACUCCGUCCCGGCUCUGAGCCCGGCUCCCCGGCAGUGCAGGAAGCGUUUGCUGGGGCGGAGGCACCGAGUGGAGAAACACCUAACAGGUGUGACUGCAAGCUGGAUCUCCCGGUGCCCUGCAGCGCUGGCCGUGGCAGAGUGGCGCCCAACAUGGGGCUGAAAGAGAAGGUCCCCCACGAGCCGAACAGAGAAAAGAAAAAUGAAGGUCUGCUACGAAUGAACGAAGAAACAAGGAAGGUCUGCCUAAAGCAGGAAAAGGCGAAACUGCCGACGGUGGAAACGGUAGCCUGGCACUCGACGGAGUCGCGACCAUGAGUGGGAGAAGCUGGAAGCUAGAACUGUCUCCUGGUGGUGUGGUGCUGAGCUGGGGAAAGGGACUAAGGUACUCUGAUACUUGAAGAUCCAGCAUGUGGCAGAUGCUUACUAUGGAUGCCCUUCCAGAUUGUACGAACACAUCUAGGGAACUCUCAAACCAUGGCUUCCAAAAACAACAUCAGGAGUUCCUGUCGUGGCUCAGUAGAAACAAAUCUAACUGGAAUCAAUGAGGACCCAAGUUUGAUCCCUGAUUUCGCUCAGUGGGUUAAGGAUCUGGCAUUGCCAUGAGCUGUGGUGUAGGUCACAGAUGUGGCUCGGAUCUGGAGUUGCUGUGGCUGCAGCAGAGGACAGUGGCGACAGCGCAAUUCGACCCCUAGCCUGGGAACCACCAUAUGGUGUGGGUGCAACCCUAAAAAGACACACACACACACACACACACACAAUAAAAAACAACACCA